GUCUACAGCCUUGCCAUCCUGAACAUGCCCAACCUCAUCUGAUCUUGGAAGCUAAGCAAGAUCGGGCCUGGUUAGUAAUUGAAUGGGAGACCACCUAGGAAGACCCGGUGCUGUAGGCA
RNAcentral lists this ribosomal RNA (119 nucleotides) under Pteropus alecto (black flying fox). The record is from RNAcentral. Lineage: Eukaryota; Metazoa; Chordata; Mammalia; Chiroptera; Pteropodidae.